Solanum dulcamara is the source of this 472-nucleotide long non-coding RNA. RefSeq lists it as uncharacterized. The record is from RefSeq and is a predicted model, not a curated record. The transcript has 3 exons. NCBI's taxonomy places the organism in Eukaryota, Viridiplantae, Streptophyta, Magnoliopsida, Solanales, Solanaceae.
UACUUUCUGUGUGGUCUAGUAUAUCCAUUUGUCUAUGGUACAAACAAGCAUUGACUGGAAACCCCAAAGUGAGAAGGAAAGGGAUUACCAAUGAAGUUUUAAUGUGCAUCCUCUAUUCUGAAUUUUCAGCCCUUGUCUAUUGCCUGUUGUUCCUCUCAUUUUGACAAUCAGUUGAUCAUUGGCUCAACUCUUGUGGAGAAGUUGAAGGAUUUUGUGUCAGCUAAAACUUUUGUAAGAGGAGAUCAUCCAGUAUUCUUGCUUUCUCUGUAAGAGUUUUUACUGAACUCGUGAAUAUUGGAACCGGAUCAUGCAAUGCUACCCAUCACUUCAAGGUUCAAACUAGUUUUCGUUUGGCGGAAUGACCUGGGAGACCCUUAUAUUUGGCUCCGUUUGUUAGUUAUGUCAAUGACUUUACUACAGCCUUAAUAUCAAAUUACUCCAUUAAUUAUACACACAAUUAUCCCAAAUAACC